CCCUUAGAUGUCCGGGGCCGCACGCGCGCUACACUGAAGGAAUCAGCGUGGCUUUCUCCCUGACCCGAAAGGGUUGGGAAACCCGUUGAAUCUCCUUCGUGAUAGGGAUUGGGGCUUGAAAUUGUUCCCCAUGAACGAGGAAUUCCCAGUAAGCGCGAGUCAUAAGCUCGCGUUGAUUACGUCCCUGCCCUUUGUACACACCGCCCGUCGCUACUACCGAUUGAACGGUUUAGUGAGGGCCUCGGAUUGGUCUCGGCCCGCUCUUUACCGGGCGGCGCCGUUGGUGGAGAAGACGCUCGAACUUGAUCGUUUAGAGGAAGUAAAAGUCGUAACA
This 334-nucleotide ribosomal RNA is filed under the name uncultured eukaryote. RNAcentral describes it as "partial 18S ribosomal RNA". It matches the Rfam family "Eukaryotic small subunit ribosomal RNA", at positions 1470 to 1796 of the family's 1831-position model. The record is from RNAcentral.